RNAcentral lists this ribosomal RNA (482 nucleotides) under uncultured bacterium. RNAcentral describes it as "partial 16S ribosomal RNA". It matches the Rfam family "Bacterial small subunit ribosomal RNA", at positions 30 to 507 of the family's 1533-position model. The record is from RNAcentral.
AUUGAACGCUGGCGGCAUGCCUUACACAUGCAAGUCGAACGGUAACAGGUCUUCGGAUGCUGACGAGUGGCGACCGGGUGCGUAAUACAUCGGAACGUGCCCGAUCGUGGGGGAUAACGCAGCGAAAGCUGUGCUAAUACCCCAUACGAUCUACGGAUGACAACGGGGGAUCGCAAGACCUCUCGCGGACGUUGCGGCCGAUGGCAGAUUAGGUAGUUGGUGGGAUAAAGGCUUACCAAGCCGACGAUCUGUAGCUGGUCUGAGAGGACGACCAGCCACACUGGAACUGAGACACGGCCCAGACUCCUACGGGAGGCAGCAGUGGGGAAUUUUGGACAAUGGGCGCAAGCCUGAUCCAGCCAUGCCGCGUGCGGGAUGAAGGCCUUCGGGUUGUAAACUGCUUUUGUACGGAACGAAAAAGCUCUCUCUAAUACAGGGCGUGAAUGACGGUACCGUAAGAAUAAGCACCGGCUAACUACGUG